This 390-nucleotide long non-coding RNA is filed under the name Sinocyclocheilus grahami. Its description in RNAcentral is "lncRNA (ENSSGRG00000012772.1)". Lineage: Eukaryota; Metazoa; Chordata; Actinopteri; Cypriniformes; Cyprinidae. The record is from RNAcentral.
GCUUGAAUUUUGUAAAGGCGCUCUUAACGGACGCCUAAAGGUAGGUCCUACUCAGUCAGGAUAUAAAUCGCCACACUGCGGGCGAAAGAGCCCUCAGUCUGUCGUGGAAGAAACUGAUACACUGUGUGUGGCCCUAUGUUAGCCUUACCUGUGGACAUCUGCUGUUUUCCUAUGCAGAAGACCGAGUACCAGGAUGCUUCACUGCUGCUUUGAGAGUGGAAUCUGGUGACCGUGGCCUGUGGAUGAGCUUCUGCGUUUCUACGAAUACUGUUUAAUGUGUAAAAUCCCCCCCGGUGAUGUUUGUGUAAAUCUAUAGCUCAUGUACUUCGUGUAAGUUUGCUUUUUAUUUUUAUUACUAUUAAAUGAGACUUUGAAACCAUCGUACUUGCU